This 2432-nucleotide long non-coding RNA is filed under the name Homo sapiens (human). RNAcentral's name for it is "HSALNT0257394". The record is from RNAcentral. Lineage: Eukaryota; Metazoa; Chordata; Mammalia; Primates; Hominidae.
GCCCAGCAUCUGAGUUAUUUGACUCUCUCACCUGGGCCCAGCUCACAGUGACAUAUCAUGGGACCCAGACCCUUGGUAAUGUCACUCUAUUUUGCCUUGAUACAACCCACAGGGGGCAUUGUGAUAUAUCACUGGGCCAUGCACCCAGGUGAUGUGAGUCUCCUCUUCUUGAUGCUGCCCACAGGUGUACUGUAACAUAUUGUUAGGCCUAGGUUAUGUGACUCUCUUACUUGUGUCCUUUCCACAUGGGUUAUUGUGACACAUGGCUGAGUCCAACACUCAGGUGAUGUAACUUCAUUCUGGACUCUGUCUACAGAAGUCAUUGUAAUAUAUAUCUUCACCAAUCACUGAGGGAAUGUGCCUUUUUUUCCUCCCUUUUCUCUACUCACAGGGGGUACUUUCUGCCCACAAAUGAGAUUGUGGCAUCUAACCCUAAGGUGAUGUUACUUCUUUGCUCUGGCUGUGCCCUUAGAAAACACUGAAACAUACUGCUGGGUCCAGCACCAAGAUUAUGUGAGUUUUCUGCCUGAACCCUGACCACAGGAAGCAUUGUAACAUAUCUCUUGACCCAUUGCAAUUUCUCCUAUGGGCAAAGCCCAGGAGAUGAAACUGUCUACUUCUGCAUUCUGCCCACUCGGAAGAUUGUGACAAUCAUUAGGCCCAGCAACCAGGUAUUGUGUCUGUCCUCUCUGGGCCUCACCCACAGUGAGCCUUGUGACUAAAUCCUGGCCCAGCAUCCAGGUGAUCUUACUCUUCUGCCUGUGUCCUGCUUUUAGGAGGAAAUUGUAACAUCCUUGGCUGAGUGCCCCGUGAUGUGACUCUCCUUCCUGGUCCAUGCCCUCAGGGAAGAUUGUGACAUACCCCUGGUCCAGCACACAGUUAAUGUCACUCUUAUGCUUGCUCUUUACCCACAUAUAUUGUGGCCAAGAACAAAGAUGUAAUGAUGACUGUCAUACCUCGAAGGUGGCAAUAGGAGAGAUAAUGUUGCCCCUAGGUAGGCUUAGGAAAAUAACAAAGUCUUUUUUCUGUACAAAAGUCAUAGAGAAUUACCAAUUUCUCACAUCUAUAAAGACCUAGUAUGUUACAGAGAAUGUCAUAACAAGACCCAGCACACAGGUGAGAUUAUGUUUGUCCUAUGCAGACCCCACUAACCUUCAGAAUUGUUAUCCUCACACAUGGACAGAGCCCACUGGUGAGGUCCUGAAUCACACGUGAAUGCCGUUCACAGUUGGAAUUUUCACUGUCAUAAGUGAACAUCUGGCCACAGUUGGGAUGGUGACUCAUUUCUAAACCCAGCUUGUAGGAAGGUGAGGACUCUCCUAUCUGGACUCAACCAAUUGGAGAGAUGUUGACUGUCAUAUCUGGACGUAGAACCACAGGGAAGACUCUGGAUCUCCUUCCUGUAUGAAGGUCACAGAGGAUCACCAUUCUUGCAUAUUGUAUAAAGCCUUCAGGUGACACAGAGAGUGUCAUAAGAGAACACAGCACACAGGUGGGCUAGUGACUCUCAGACCAAGAUUCAGCACACAUGUGAGGCUGUAACUGCACUGAAAGGACAAGUCUGCAGAAUAAACUGUGGCUGUCUUGCAAAAAUUCUGUCAACCAUUGAGACUGUGACUCACACACUUAGAUCCAACAUCCAAGGCUGGGCGCAGUGGCUCACGCCUGUAAUCCCAGCACUUUGAAAGGCCAACGCAGGCGGAUCACCGGAGGUCAGGAGUUCAAGACCAUCCUGGCCAACAUGGUGAAACCCCCAUCUCUACUAAAAAUACAAAAAUUAGCCGCGCGUGGUGGCAGGCACCUGUAAUCCCAGCUACUCGGGAGGCUGACACAGGAGAAUCGCUUGAACCUGGGAGGCAGAGGUUGCAGUGAGCCGAGAUCACACCAUUGCAUCCCAGCCUGGGGGACAAGAGUGAGACUUCAUCUCAAAAAAACAAAAGCAAAAACAAAAUAGAUAAAUAGAUCCAACAUCCAGGAGGUGUUGACUCUCAUACCUAGAACCUGGACAUGUAUGGAAUUUCUAAUCUCAUUCCUGGACUUUCCUGCAGGUGUGAUUGUGUGCAUCUGCUAAGCACCUUAGUGAUUUGAGUUUCCUGCCUUGACCCAGUCCACAGAUAAGAUUGUGACAUAUCGCUUGACUCUGCACCUUGAAGAUAUGACUUUCUCUUCCAGCCUUGGUGCUGCCCACAGGGUGGAUUAUGACAUACUGCUAAGCCCUGCACUCAGGUUAUGUGACUCUUCUCUUUUGCCCGUGCCCUGAAUAUUUCACAUGUUAGGACAUGUUACUAGGCUGAACACCUAUAAAAUCAGAGGCUCCUGCCUGGGCCCUGUCUAGAGAGGGCCUUGUGACAUAUCUCUUCAUCAAUCACCUAGGAGAUGUGACUCUCCAUUUUUGCCUGCACUCUGCCCACAGGAAAAAUUGUGAAUUGUCA